AUUUGAACUAUAAAGAGACUAAGAAUUAAAACUCUAAGACCCCGUUUGGAUACUCCUGAAAACGAAGCAUAGUUAAACUAUGCUACAGCGGUAGAAAAAAUAUAUUACGAAGCGUUUAGGAGGAAAAAAAGCUAACGUAAUUUUUGGAGUAUAGUUAAACUAUACUCCAAAAAAUGGAAUAAAAGUAUAAUCCACUCUAAUCAAAGAAAAAAAAAUUCUACCAUUCUUGAGCUCUCUUAUUCAAAAAAUUCAACAAGUUCUAACUUUUAAAUUUCAAUAUAAAAUAUUUAAUUUUAACGUAGAUUUUAAAUUUCAAUAUAGAUUUUAAAUUUCAAAUUUUAAAUUUUAAAUUUCAAAUCUCAUAGUUCAAAUUUCAAAUUUUAAACUUUAAAUUUUAAAUUAAAAUUUAAAAUUUAAAAUUCUAAAUUUCAAAUUUUAAAUUUUAAAUUUUAAAUUUUUUAUUUUAAAUAAAUUUUCAAAUAUAAAUUUCAAACUUUAAAUUUUAAAUUUUAACUUUUAAAAUUUAAAAUUUAAAUUUCAAAUUUGAAAUUUCAAAUCUCAAAUCUCAUA
This 570-nucleotide long non-coding RNA is filed under the name Ananas comosus (pineapple). RNAcentral's name for it is "long non-coding RNA (ACOM_LNC038990)". Lineage: Eukaryota; Viridiplantae; Streptophyta; Magnoliopsida; Poales; Bromeliaceae. The record is from RNAcentral.